CAGCCGCCGCGGGAAAACCGAGGGUGCAAGCGUUAAUCGGAAUUACUGGGCGUAAAGCGCGCGUAGGUGGUUUGUUAAGUUGGAUGUGAAAUCCCCGGGCUCAACCUGGGAACUGCAUCCAAAACUGGCAAGCUAGAGUAUGGUAGAGGGUGGUGGAAUUUCCUGUGUAGCGGUGAAAUGCGUAGAUAUAGGAAGGAACACCAGUGGCGAAGGCGACCACCUGGACUGAUACUGACACUGAGGUGCGAAAGCGUGGGGAGCAAACAGGAUUAGAUACCCCCGUAGUCCCUGUCUCUUAUAC
This 301-nucleotide ribosomal RNA is filed under the name uncultured bacterium. Its description in RNAcentral is "partial 16S ribosomal RNA". It matches the Rfam family "Bacterial small subunit ribosomal RNA", at positions 509 to 807 of the family's 1533-position model. The record is from RNAcentral.